RNAcentral lists this ribosomal RNA (492 nucleotides) under uncultured bacterium. Its description in RNAcentral is "partial 16S ribosomal RNA". It matches the Rfam family "Bacterial small subunit ribosomal RNA", at positions 29 to 507 of the family's 1533-position model. The record is from RNAcentral.
AGUGAACGCUGGCGGUAGGCCUAACACAUGCAAGUCGAACGGCAGCACAGUAAGAGCUUGCUCUUACGGGUGGCGAGUGGCGGACGGGUGAGGAAUACAUCGGAAUCUACUUUUUCGUGGGGGAUAACGUAGGGAAACUUACGCUAAUACCGCAUACGACCUACGGGUGAAAGCAGGGGAUCUUCGGACCCUGCGCGAUUGAAUGAGCCGAUGUCGGAUUAGCUAGUUGGCGGGGUAAAGGCCCACCAAGGCGACGAUCCGUAGCUGGUCUGAGAGGAUGAUCAGCCACACUGGAACUGAGACACGGUCCAGACUCCUACGGGAGGCAGCAGUGGGGAAUAUUGGACAAUGGGCGCAAGCCUGAUCCAGCCAUACCGCGUGGGUGAGGAAGGCCUUCGGGUUGUAAAGCCCUUUUGUUGGGAAAGAAAAGCAGCAGGUUAAUACCCCGCUGUUCUGACGGUACCCAAAGAAUAAGCACCGGCUAACUUCGUG